This 72-nucleotide transfer RNA is filed under the name Helicosporidium sp. ex Simulium jonesi. Its description in RNAcentral is "tRNA-Arg". It matches the Rfam family "tRNA". From Rfam's summary of the family: Transfer RNA (tRNA) molecules are approximately 80 nucleotides in length. Lineage: Eukaryota; Viridiplantae; Chlorophyta; Trebouxiophyceae; Chlorellales; Chlorellaceae. The record is from RNAcentral.
GAGCUUAUCGUUCAAUGGAUAGGACAGAAACCUUCUAAGUUUCCAAUGUAGGUUCAAUUCCUACUAAGCUCA